GGUUAAGCGACUAAGCGUACACGGUGGAUGCCAUGGCAGUCAGAGGCGAUGAAGGACGUGCUAAUCUGCGAUAAGCGUCGGUAAGGUGAUAUGAACCGUUAUAACCGGCGAUUUCCGAAUGGGGAAACCCAGUGUGAUUCGUCACACUAUCAUUAACUGAAUCCAUAGGUUAAUGAGGCGAACCGGGGGAACUGAAACAUCUAAGUACCCCGAGGAAAAG
RNAcentral lists this ribosomal RNA (220 nucleotides) under Escherichia coli. RNAcentral describes it as "partial 23S ribosomal RNA". It matches the Rfam family "Bacterial large subunit ribosomal RNA", at positions 1 to 221 of the family's 2925-position model. Lineage: Bacteria; Pseudomonadati; Pseudomonadota; Gammaproteobacteria; Enterobacterales; Enterobacteriaceae. The record is from RNAcentral.